RNAcentral lists this ribosomal RNA (235 nucleotides) under uncultured bacterium. Its description in RNAcentral is "partial 16S ribosomal RNA". It matches the Rfam family "Bacterial small subunit ribosomal RNA", at positions 102 to 339 of the family's 1533-position model. The record is from RNAcentral.
ACGGGUGAGUAAUAUAUAGGUAACGUACCCCUUGGAGCGGGAUAACAGUUGGAAACGACUGCUAAUACCGCAUACUCCUUUUGAUCAUAAGUGAUAAAGGGAAACGAAUUUUGCCAAGGGAUCGGCUUGUAUUGUAUCAGCUAGUUGGUGAGGUAAUGGCUCACCAAGGCUAUGACACAUAGCGGGUCUGAGAGGAUGAUCCGCCACACUGGUACUGAGACACGGACCAGACUCC